Molecule: non-coding RNA, 253 nt
Organism: Cinara cedri
Lineage: Eukaryota; Metazoa; Arthropoda; Insecta; Hemiptera; Aphididae
Source: the annotation of a GenBank genome assembly
AUAGCUCUAAUUCCCGUGUUUAAGCUUGUUUGGUCUAAAGGGAGCCACUAAAAGUGUUAAAAAGUAUCGGGAAAAAGAUCUGUUGGCACCUACACAUGUAUACAGUGAAAUAGUUUCUAUUUUUGUGGUAAAUUCGACAAAAAUUAAAAUAGCCAAACUAACAAAAAACAUCAUUAAAAAGUAAUCAAUAAAGAAUAUAAUAUUAUUUUAUUCGAAACGAGUAGGUAGGUUGUAUAAUAAUUAUCAAAACGGG